This 446-nucleotide ribosomal RNA is filed under the name uncultured bacterium. Its description in RNAcentral is "partial 16S ribosomal RNA". It matches the Rfam family "Bacterial small subunit ribosomal RNA", at positions 338 to 795 of the family's 1533-position model. The record is from RNAcentral.
CCUACGGGAGGCUGCAGUCGAGAAUCAUUCACAAUGGGGGAAACCCUGAUGGUGCGACGCCGCGUGGGGGAAUGAAGGUCUUCGGAUUGUAAACCCCUGUCAUGUGGGAGCAAAUUAAAAAGAUAGUACCACAAGAGGAAGAGACGGCUAACUCUGUGCCAGCAGACGCGGUAAUACAGAGGUCUCAAGCGUUGUUCGGAAUCACUGGGCGUAAGGCGUGCGUAGGCUGUUUCGUAAGUCGUGUGUGAAAGGCGCGGGCUCAACCCGCGGACGGCACAUGAUACUGCGAGACUAGAGUAAUGGAGGGGGAACCGGAAUUCUCGGUGUAGCAGUGAAAUGCGUAGAUAUCGAGAGGAACACUCGUGGCGAAGGCGGGUUCCUGGACAUUAACUGACGCUGAGGCACGAAGGCCAGGGGAGCGAAAGGGAUUAGAUACCCGAGUAGUC